This 581-nucleotide ribosomal RNA is filed under the name uncultured bacterium. Its description in RNAcentral is "bacterial SSU rRNA". It matches the Rfam family "Bacterial small subunit ribosomal RNA", at positions 102 to 679 of the family's 1533-position model. The record is from RNAcentral.
ACGGGUGAGGAAUACAUCGGAAUCUACUCUGUCGCGGGGGAUAACGUAGGGAAACUUACGCUAAUACCGCAUACGACCUACGGGUGAAAGCAGGGGAUCUUCGGACCUUGCGCGAUUGAAUGAGCCGAUGUCGGAUUAGCUAGUUGGCGGGGUAAAGGCCCACCAAGGCGACGAUCCGUAGCUGGUCUGAGAGGAUGAUCAGCCACACUGGAACUGAGACACGGUCCAGACUCCUACGGGAGGCAGCAGUGGGGAAUAUUGGACAAUGGGCGCAAGCCUGAUCCAGCCAUACCGCGUGGGUGAAGAAGGCCUUCGGGUUGUAAAGCCCUUUUGUUGGGAAAGAAAUCCAGCUGGCUAAUACCCGGUUGGGAUGACGGUACCCAAAGAAUAAGCACCGGCUAACUUCGUGCCAGCAGCCGCGGUAAUACGAAGGGUGCAAGCGUUACUCGGAAUUACUGGGCGUAAAGCGUGCGUAGGUGGUCGUUUAAGUCCGUUGUGAAAGCCCUGGGCUCAACCUGGGAACUGCAGUGGAUACUGGGCGACUAGAGUGUGGUAGAGGGUAGCGGUAUUCCUGGUGUAGC